Perca fluviatilis (European perch) is the source of this 460-nucleotide long non-coding RNA. RefSeq lists it as uncharacterized. The record is from RefSeq and is a predicted model, not a curated record. The transcript is spliced from 5 exons. Lineage: Eukaryota; Metazoa; Chordata; Actinopteri; Perciformes; Percidae.
UGGAAAGUGUGCUUCUUUGCCACGUUGCCAUGGUGGCAGAUAUAGGGGGCACAAAUGUAGAUGAUGCAACGAGGCGAAUGAUGUCAAACGAGCUGGCAUUGGACUAUAACAUGUUUGGCCGUCACGGGAAAAAGAAGUUUAAGGACUUGUGUCUUUUCAACGUUGUGUAUGAGGCUCUUAAGAAGAAUUCGUUGGUGAACCAGCAGGAGGCAGAGAGGGCACUGUCGAAAUGGCUCAUUGGGGCAAGAGACAGAGGAGGACGAAGGGCAUCCAGACAGCCAGUGCCAAAUUAAAAAGUACUGAGCAGUGGUGGAAUAUGAGUGAGUUGUAUUCAGGUCGCAGAGCCGCGAGGAACUUUAACAUGAAGUCUGAGAGGAAGCUGUCAGCGAAGAGGGAACAGGUCACAGAGCUGCGAGGAACUUUAAUAUGAAGUCUGAGAGCUGUCAGCAGACCAGGGGAC